GAGUUUGAUCUUGGCUCAGAUUGAACGCUGGCGGCAUGCCUUACACAUGCAAGUCGAACGGCAGCACGGGAGCUUGCUCCUGGUGGCGAGUGGCGAACGGGUGAGUAAUGCAUCGGAACGUAUCCUGGAGUGGGGGAUAACGUAGCGAAAGUUACGCUAAUACCGCAUAUUCUGUGAGCAGGAAAGCGGGGGACCUUCGGGCCUCGCGCUCUUGGAGCGGCCGAUGUCGGAUUAGCUAGUUGGUGAGGU
Molecule: ribosomal RNA, 249 nt
Filed under: bacterium enrichment culture clone ALO1_GLFRUDD03GXHVA
Lineage: Bacteria
Description: partial 16S ribosomal RNA
Rfam family: Bacterial small subunit ribosomal RNA
Source: RNAcentral